This 345-nucleotide unclassified non-coding RNA is filed under the name soil metagenome. RNAcentral's name for it is "partial contains 5.8S ribosomal RNA, internal transcribed spacer 2, and large subunit ribosomal RNA". The stretch from base 1 to 120 matches the Rfam family "5.8S ribosomal RNA", at positions 35 to 154 of the family's 154-position model. The record is from RNAcentral.
GAUGAAGAACGCAGCGAAAUGCGAUACGUAAUGUGAAUUGCAGAAUUCAGUUAAUCAUCGAGUCUUUGAACGCACAUUGCGCCCCCUGGUAUUCCGGGGGGCAUGCCUGUCCGAGCGUCAUUGCUGCCCUCAAGCACGGCUUGUGUGUUGGGCCUCCGUCCUCCUCCCGGGGGACGGGCCCGAAAGGCAGCGGCGGCACCGCGUCCGGUCCUCGAGCGUAUGGGGCUUCGUCACCCGCUCUUGUAGGCCCGGCCGGCGCUUGCCGACACAUCAAUCUUUUUUCCAGGUUGACCUCGGAUCAGGUAGGGAUACCCGCUGAACUUAAGAAUAUCAAUAAGCGGAGGA